UACGGAGGGUGCGAGCGUUGUCCGGAAUCAUUGGGCGUAAAGGGCGCGUAGGUGGCGGGACAAGCGUGCGGUGAAAGCCUGGGGCUCAACCCCGGGUCGGCCGUGCGAACUGUUUUGCUUGAGCACUGUAGAGGCAGGCGGAAUUCCGGGUGUAGCGGUGGAAUGCGUAGAGAUCCGGAAGAACACCGGUGGCGAAGGCAGCUCGCUGGGACGUUACUGACGCUGAGACGCGAAAGCGUGGGGAGCAAACAGG
This 253-nucleotide ribosomal RNA is filed under the name uncultured bacterium. Its description in RNAcentral is "partial 16S ribosomal RNA". It matches the Rfam family "Bacterial small subunit ribosomal RNA", at positions 524 to 776 of the family's 1533-position model. The record is from RNAcentral.